RNAcentral lists this long non-coding RNA (202 nucleotides) under Volvox carteri. Its description in RNAcentral is "long non-coding RNA (VCAR_LNC000922)". Lineage: Eukaryota; Viridiplantae; Chlorophyta; Chlorophyceae; Chlamydomonadales; Volvocaceae. The record is from RNAcentral.
AAGCAGCAUAGUCAUGGCCCUACCCUCGCCGUUUCGCAACACUGGGCGCGGCCAAACAACAUACCUGAUGAGUGCGCCUUCCGGUUUCUAUAUGAGAGGUAUGACCUUUCGGACUUUAUGCGUUUGCCCCUGACAGGACGCAGGAAGGCGGAGUAAAGCACAGUGACCACUGCGUCCGGCCUUGGCGGUCAGGGAAAUCUGG